GUCCCCUCCCAGUGAGACACCCUGGGAGUUGUAGGUUUAUUUUCCUUCCUCUGCCCUGACCACUCCUUCACAACUCUCCUGGAAGCCUGUGAACCCUUCUGAAAAGCCAGGAUGACAGAGCAAGUUCCAGGAUGCAAGCCUGGGAAAGAGCCGAAAGGUUCCCUGGGAGUUAAGCCCCUCCAUUGAGAGACAGUAAGCCGAUCACUGCACAGGAAAGCAUUCCUGGGUGCUCUGUGUCCUACAGAGGCAAACUACGAUGAAAAUCGGAGAGUGAACCAGGCCGAGGACCACUUUUGUGAAAGGAGAUCCAGGCCAAAGGGCAAGAUGUUAUUGGAAGUUUUACCAAGGCCUGUCUGUGUUUUAGAAGAAAAAAAAAAUGACCUUCUUGGGAGUGUCUGUGCCGGUGGCUGUGUCCUUAGCAAAGUAGACAAUGUCUCCACGGUGACAGCAGCAUGCACACACACUCUGGCCUCUGCCAAGCAGCUGCAAACACCUGCAAGGCCAGUCGCACUGGGUGAGGGAGACCUACAGACCCCAGAAGCUACUGCAGAAGGACACCGAAGAGAAAGAAGUUCACGGUUCACAUUGCCCAGUGUUGGGACAUCUCCCCUGGAAACGAGAGCGAAGUUUCCUAGAAACCUUGUAAUGAGUCUGUUUGGAAGCUCUCCGAUUUACCUCUCCACCCCAUGAAUUUUACAUUAUUCA
Non-coding RNA from Peromyscus maniculatus bairdii (prairie deer mouse), 705 nucleotides. The record is from RefSeq and is a predicted model, not a curated record. NCBI's taxonomy places the organism in Eukaryota, Metazoa, Chordata, Mammalia, Rodentia, Cricetidae.